RNAcentral lists this transfer RNA (76 nucleotides) under Syntrophomonadaceae bacterium. Its description in RNAcentral is "tRNA-Lys". It matches the Rfam family "tRNA". Rfam says of the family: Transfer RNA (tRNA) molecules are approximately 80 nucleotides in length. Lineage: Bacteria; Bacillati; Bacillota; Clostridia; Eubacteriales; Syntrophomonadaceae. The record is from RNAcentral.
GGGCCAUUAGCUCAGCUGGUAGAGCAGCUGACUCUUAAUCAGAAGGUCACAGGUUCGAUCCCUGUAUGGCCCACCA